UAUGAGUCAUGCUUAUGUAUGCAAAGCAAUUUAUCAAUCAUGAUGCAAGCAGCAGAGACAUUCUACUCAAUUCUACAACACAUUCAUGAUGAUUCAAGUUAUGGCACCACACAUGACAAUGCAAUAAACAGAACAUGAUAUUCUAAUACUCUAGACAUUACUUAAUAUUAAUAGGACAAUGCAGCAGAAACAUUUUCAGUGUAAUUAGCCUAGACAUUCUACUAGAAACUAUAAACUCUUAAUGGAAUUAGGGAAAGCACAGAGUAUACUCAAGAGAUAGACCUAUCAAGACAUACUAAAAUAGAUGAGACUAGGUUUACUCCCUUGGUUAAGUUGAUGAAGAGUGGUUCUUAAAUUUGCCACUUGAAUCCCCACUUCUUCUUCUUCUCUUAUUACAAUCACCCUUCUGAAUUCGCCACCAUGAUGGAAUGCUUGUGGAUGCUUCAG
RNAcentral lists this long non-coding RNA (447 nucleotides) under Brassica napus (rape). RNAcentral describes it as "long non-coding RNA (BNAP_LNC002528)". The record is from RNAcentral. Lineage: Eukaryota; Viridiplantae; Streptophyta; Magnoliopsida; Brassicales; Brassicaceae.